UGAACAUAAAAAAUGUAAAAUAAAUUUUUCCCUAGGUUUUCUCUUUUCUACCCUGCUGGCAUUCUGCCAGCCAGGAAGAUUU
This 82-nucleotide small nucleolar RNA is filed under the name Procavia capensis (Cape rock hyrax). RNAcentral's name for it is "Small nucleolar RNA SNORA32 (ENSPCAG00000020545.1)". Lineage: Eukaryota; Metazoa; Chordata; Mammalia; Hyracoidea; Procaviidae. The record is from RNAcentral.